RNAcentral lists this ribosomal RNA (460 nucleotides) under uncultured bacterium. Its description in RNAcentral is "partial 16S ribosomal RNA". It matches the Rfam family "Bacterial small subunit ribosomal RNA", at positions 338 to 795 of the family's 1533-position model. The record is from RNAcentral.
CCUACGGGGGGCAGCAGUGAGGAAUAUUGGUCAAUGGACGAGAGUCUGAACCAGCCAAGUAGCGUGAAGGAUGACUGCCCUAUGGGUUGUAAACUUCUUUUAUAUGGGAAUAAAAUGUUCCACGUGUGGGAUUUUGUAUGUACCAUAUGAAUAAGGAUCGGCUAACUCCGUGCCAGCAGCAGCGGUAAUACGGAGGAUCCGAGCGUUAUCCGGAUUUAUUGGGUUUAAAGGGAGCGUAGGUGGAUUGUUAAGUCAGUUGUGAAAGUUUGCGGCUCAAACGUAAAAUUGCAGUUGAAACUGGCAGUCUUGAGUACAGUAGAGGUGGGCGGAAUGCGUGGUGUAGCGGUGAAAUGCUUAGAUAUCACGAAGAACUCCGAUUGCGAAGGCAGUUCACUGGACUGCAACUGACACUGAGGCUCGAAAGUGUGGGUAUCAAACAGGAUUAGAUACCCGAGUAGUC